UCCUCGAUAGCUCAGUUGGUAGAGCAAUGGACUGUUAAUCCAUUUGUCGCUGGUUCGAGCCAGCUCGAGGAGCCA
Molecule: transfer RNA, 75 nt
Filed under: uncultured Gammaproteobacteria bacterium
Lineage: Bacteria; Pseudomonadati; Pseudomonadota; Gammaproteobacteria
Description: tRNA-Asn-GTT
Rfam family: tRNA
About the family: Transfer RNA (tRNA) molecules are approximately 80 nucleotides in length. Their secondary structure includes four short double-helical elements and three loops (D, anti-codon, and T loops). Further hydrogen bonds mediate the characteristic L-shaped molecular structure. tRNAs have two regions of fundamental functional importance: the anti-codon, which is responsible for specific mRNA codon recognition, and the 3' end, to which the tRNAs corresponding amino acid is attached (by aminoacyl-tRNA synthetases). tRNAs cope with the degeneracy of the genetic code in two manners: having more than one tRNA (with a specific anti-codon) for a particular amino acid; and 'wobble' base-pairing, i.e. permitting non-standard base-pairing at the 3rd anti-codon position.
Source: RNAcentral